This 511-nucleotide ribosomal RNA is filed under the name uncultured bacterium. RNAcentral's name for it is "partial 16S ribosomal RNA". It matches the Rfam family "Bacterial small subunit ribosomal RNA", at positions 355 to 877 of the family's 1533-position model. The record is from RNAcentral.
UGGGGAAUAUUGCACAAUGGGCGAAAGCCUGAUGCAGCGACGCCGCGUGCGGGAUGAAGGCCUUCGGGUUGUAAACCGCUUUUAAUUGGGAGCAAGCGAGAGUGAGUGUACCUUUUGAAUAAGCACCGGCUAACUACGUGCCAGCAGCCGCGGUAAUACGUAGGGUGCAAGCGUUAUCCGGAAUUAUUGGGCGUAAAGAGCUCGUAGGCGGUUUGUCACGCCUGGUGUGAAAGUCCAUCGCUUAACGGUGGAUCUGCGCCGGGUACGGGCAGGCUAGAGUGCAGUAGGGGAGAUUGGAAUUCCCGGUGUAACGGUGGAAUGUGUAGAUNUCGGGAAGAACACCAAUGGCGAAGGCAGAUCUCUGGGCUGUUACUGACGCUGAGGAGCGAAAGCAUGGGGAGCGAACAGGAUUAGAUACCCUGGUAGUCCAUGCCGUAAACGGUGGAUGCUGGAUGUGGGACCCUUCCACGGGUUCCGUGUCGGAGCUAACGCGUUAAGCAUCCCGCCUGGG